GSCUCCYCUGAKUUUGAUCAUGGCUCAGGACGGAWCGCYGGCGGCGUGCCUAAUACAUGCAAGUCGAGCGRACAGAUGGGGAGCUUUGCUCCCUGAUGKUAGCGGCGGACGGGUGAGUACACGUGGGUAACCUGCCUGUAAGACUGGGAUAACUCCGGRAAACCGGGGCUAAUACCGGAUGGUUGUUUGACCGCAUGGUUCAAACAUAAAAAGGUGGCUUCGGCUACCACUUACAGAUGGACCCGCGGCGCAUUAGCUAGUUGGUGAGGUAACGGCUCACCAAGGCAACGAUGCGUAKCCGACCUGAGAGGGUGAUCGGCCACACUGGGACUGAGACACGGCCCAGACUCCUACGGGAGGCAGCAGUAGGGAAUCUUCCGCAAUGGACGAAAGUCUGACGGAGCAACGCCGCGUGAGUGAUGAAGGUUUUCGGAUCGUAAAGCUCUGUUGUUAGGGAAGAACAAGUACCGUUCGAAUAGGGCGGUACCUUGACGGUACCUAACCAGAAAGCCACGGCUAACUACGUGCCAGCARCCGCGGUAAUACGUAGGUGGCAAGCGUUGUCCGGAAUUAUUGGGCGUAAAGGGCUCGCAGGCGGUUUCUUAAGUCUGAUGUGAAAGCCCCCGGCUCAACCGGGGAGGGUCAUUGGAAACUGGGGAACUUGAGUGCAGAAGAGGAGAGUGGAAUUCCACGUGUAGCGGUGAAAUGCGUAGAGAUGUGGAGGAACACCAGUGGCGAAGGCGACUCUCUGGUCUGUAACUGACGCUGAGGAGCGAAAGCGUGGGGAGCGAACAGGAUUAGAUACCCUGGUAGUCCACGCCGUAAMCWKYUUGAGUGCUAAGUGUUAGGGGGUUUCCGCCCCUUAGUGCUGCAGCUAACGCAUUAAGCAYUCCSGCCU
RNAcentral lists this ribosomal RNA (898 nucleotides) under Bacillus subtilis. Its description in RNAcentral is "bacterial SSU rRNA". The record is from RNAcentral. Lineage: Bacteria; Bacillati; Bacillota; Bacilli; Caryophanales; Bacillaceae.